GUUUUAGUAGUUUAAAUAAAACUUUGGUCUUGUAAGCCAAAAAUAAGAUGUCAAUCUUCUAAAACU
This 66-nucleotide transfer RNA is filed under the name Togoperla limbata. RNAcentral's name for it is "tRNA-Thr". It matches the Rfam family "tRNA". From Rfam's summary of the family: Transfer RNA (tRNA) molecules are approximately 80 nucleotides in length. Their secondary structure includes four short double-helical elements and three loops (D, anti-codon, and T loops). The record is from RNAcentral. Lineage: Eukaryota; Metazoa; Arthropoda; Insecta; Plecoptera; Perlidae.